This is a long non-coding RNA of Asparagus officinalis (garden asparagus), 571 nucleotides long. RefSeq lists it as uncharacterized. Lineage: Eukaryota; Viridiplantae; Streptophyta; Magnoliopsida; Asparagales; Asparagaceae. The record is from RefSeq and is a predicted model, not a curated record. The transcript is spliced from 4 exons.
GAGUGAUCUAAAGAAAAGAUAUUUCACAAAUUUAUCUACUGAUUGGAAGAGGAUCUAUGAGCUUGAUAAGAGAGUUCCUCCAUUUAAUUGGAUGACUCUCAUUAUCGAGUGGGAGGGUGAGAAGAAGAUCAAAGCUAUACGAUCACUUUUUAGGAGUUACUUCUUAUGCUCAGAUCGAGCAUAAGUAUUUGAGCGAAAACCCGGACGUUUUGACUAUGCCCCCCGACUCUUCUGGCUAAAAGAGCUUAUACACCACCCCAGGGCUAUAAAAAUGUAGAUGGAAAUGACAAAAAGGUGGAGAAAAUUAAUGAAUUGAACGCGGCGCUGGAAGCUUCUCAAAACGAUGUCUUCACCCGUGUCACGCAGUCUCGAAGUACAGAGGACACUCCUGUAGAGCCUAACCGCAUGACCAGAGACGAGUGGAUGGAAGUUGUCGAUGGAGCUUACGGUUUACACUCAAGAAAGAAAGGAAGAGUGCCUCUGUCAAGUACUAGAGUUAAGACACUCACCACCACCAAUAAGCCUAGCAGCCAAUCUGUGACAUCGACGCGACACGAUGACACGUCAUAUG